Molecule: ribosomal RNA, 214 nt
Filed under: uncultured bacterium
Lineage: Bacteria
Description: partial 16S ribosomal RNA
Rfam family: Bacterial small subunit ribosomal RNA
Source: RNAcentral
UACAGAGGUCUCAAGCGUUGUUCGGAUUCAUUGGGCGUAAAGGGUGCGUAGGCGGCGCGGUAAGUCGGGUGUGAAAUUUCGGAGCUUAACUCCGAAACUGCAUUCGAUACUGCCGUGCUUGAGGACUGGAGAGGAGACUGGAAUUUACGGUGUAGCAGUGAAAUGCGUAGAGAUCGUAAGGAAGACCAGUGGCGAAGGCGGGUCUCUGGACAGU